Molecule: RNA transcript, 6458 nt
Organism: Cavia porcellus (domestic guinea pig)
Lineage: Eukaryota; Metazoa; Chordata; Mammalia; Rodentia; Caviidae
Gene: Cenpe
Gene name: centromere protein E
Exons: 11
Source: RefSeq, a predicted model, not a curated record
CGGGAUGCGGCGGCCGCUCAGAGCUGGUGGCGGCGGCCUACCUGGAGGAGUCAUGGUGGCCGUGUGCGUGAGGGUGCGGCCGCUGAAUUGCAGAGAAGAACUUGGAGAAGAUGCCCUGGUUUACUGGAAAACCGACAAUAAUGUUAUUUAUCAAGUUGGUGGGAGUAAAUCCUUCAAUUUUGGAACUAUAUUUGCCUACAGGCAGACCACUUCUAGAAAAACCCAUACUAUGAUGCACUCAGAAGAUUGUUCGGGAGUUAUACCCAGAGCAAUUCAUGACAUCUUCCAAAAAAUUAAGAAGUAAGCAUACGCUGGUGUUUAUACGAAUGGCCCUUUCUGUGUAGAUUCUGGAGAGCAGGGAAAAAGUGAACCUUCUAACUGUGACGGCUCUAUCAAGCUAUCCCAUUUGAAUCUGGUGGAUCUGGCAGGCAGCGAGAGAGCUGCUCAAACAGGAGCUGAAGGUGCUGUGUAUCAUCUCAUGCAGUGACGGUCGGUUUUCACAUUGGUCUACUCUAAUCAGGUGUGCAAUUCAAGGAGUCUGUAAUAUAAAUCAAAGCUUAUUUGGGGACAAGUGAUCAAGAAACUAAGUGAUAAACUGGUGGUUUCAUCAAUUAUCGAGAUAGCAAAUUAACUCCAAUUCUCCAGAAUUCCUUGGGAGGAAAUGCAAAAACUCGUAUCAUCUGCAGCAUUACACUGACGUCUUUUGGGGAAACUCUGACCACUCUUCAGUUUGGUAGCACUGCUAAAUAUCUGAAAAACACUCCUUAUGUUAAUGAGGUGUCAAGUGAUGAAGCGCUCCUGAAAAGAUACAGAAAGGAAAUAGUGGACCUGAGAAAGCAGCUCGAGGAGACUAAAAGAAAAUGAAGAGUCACUUGGUGCUUUGGCAACAUUAACAAAAUUAAAAAUUCCCACUAUGAGAGGGAGUCAGUAUGCUAGCAAACGUGACAACCUGACAACGGAAACACCCUGGAAUGCUGUCACACUGUUAGGGGAGGUUGACGAGAGUGAGUGCCUUUCUGCAGGACCUGAUAAACGCUUCCCUGUAGAGACAGACUGCAUAACUCAGUAUGAUCCACGUGUUGAAGUAAAAUGGGUUUUAGAGUUACAAUGGAAAUUGUGAUUUAAAGAUAAGUAAUUUUUAAAAGGUCAACUGUCAUGAAUUGUUCUCUGAAUGCCAAAUCUCAACAAUGAUACACUAGUGGAAAUAGAUGUGAAAGAUAUUUUUGUUUGUUGUUCUGAUUAUUAUUCAUUUAAAUUAGUCUAGCACUGAUGUAACAUCUGUCUGAAACUUCCAGUCUUUAAAAGAUAGGAUUUAUGUUAAAAACUGUUUGAAAAUUAUACCUCAAGCAUUAUACUCUUAUUUUAGAGGCAUUUUAAAACCUACUUAGAGUGAUCAAAUUUCAUACUCAGAAUUUGAUCUUUUUACCUCUGUGAUGAGGAGCCCAUAUUUCAUCACUAAUCCCAACCAGCUGUCUUAGUUCACACACUACUAUAUGUGAUCAGCUCUGUUGACGUGAGUCCUUGACAUUCCCAAACUGAGGGCACACGUACUAAUGUGAUUAGUACUAUUAUGUGAUAGUACUAUUAUGCAGUACUCUGUCACUUUUUAAAAUAAUGUUUAAUUUGACUUUUAGGAAAUGUUACACAUGUUAACAUACACAUUUGUUCCCUAAUUGUAGCUUUCUGUUUGGAGUCUGAUACCUUCAGCAAUACUCCUGAUACACUAACGGAGAUAGAGUGGAAUUCAGUGACAUAGCUACUAAAUGAGGUAUUUUACGGAAUAUGAUCUUGUGUUGUUUUUUGUGGUGGCAGCCUGUCUGCAGCUCUGACUCAUAUCAGAGGCAUUUUGGGCUCUAGGAAGAUUUCCCUCGCGUUUUUUGACUUGCAGUUGAAAAGUAGGAGACAUGUAGAGGGAGGCUAAAAUGUUUAUUAGGUAGGCAUGUGCUAACCGGAAAAUGUUUGCUUCUAGUUCUUUACCAGCAAACCUUAGCAUCUGUCUGGUUUGUUCUGGGCAAUCCUGUGGAGUGAAAAAAUUAAUUGAAAAGCAUCAGUUUUCCAGGCAGAAGUACAAGGGUGAUCCAUCAGGGGGAUAAUGUUGCCAGGUGGUAGGAGAAAUAGAGGUAAAUGCAUUGGUUGUCCCUCUGUCCCCUUGUGCCAUGGGCUCUGUGACCCCCACAGACACCUAGGCUGUAGCCGCCUAGUCCCUGCUUAAAAGGCACGACGCAUUUGCACAUUACCCUGCCCAGCCUGUGCUGAGCUUAACCAUCUCUUGGACACUGGUGACCCCUGACAGUAGAAAUGCCUCACAGUAGUUACUACACUGCACUGUCCUGAAAAUAGUGACCAGAAGAAAGGCUCCAUCUAAGUACUGACACGGCCACUGUGGGCUGAGCACACUUCCCGCUGAGCUUAGUUGCAUCCUCACCUGAGGAGCCUGCAGGUGCAGAGGGCUCACAGCAGAGCCCUCGGAGCCAGCAAGAGUGGAGGCCGUGGCCAGCACCGCUGUAGGUUAGCUUCUGGGGUCGCUCUGCAGACUGCUCCAGUUCCAGACAAGUCACACUGUAGUGUACAUGUGUCUGUCAAAGAAAAUAUCAUUUUAACUGGGAAUACAAUUGUACUUCCUGGUAAUUAUUAUCAUUGGCUAAUGUAAGAAAGUGCUUUUGUGUCCCUGACACAUAUUCUAGGAGUUUGUCAUCUUCAUUUUUUGUAAUUCCUAAUUGAAGGUGUUUUUUUCGAUCUCUAUCCCAUAGUGUUGUGGUAAAACUUAGCAUCAUUAGAGAUUGAGGCAGACAGCAUGUUUGCCUCCUGAUUGGAGUCAUCUAAAGAAUGAAAGAGUAUUCCGAUGCAUGAGCCAUUAAUAAGCAGCUUUAAUCCUGAGGCACUGCGGGAUUUGGGGUGGAAUGGGCUCCCAGCAUUUACCUUCUCACUUGGACUUUCACUGAGGGCAGAAGCAGACUUAUUAUAUUAUCUUUAUUAUUCUGUUUUCAAAAUAAAACCUCUGUUCUCUCUAAGUGAAUGGAGAGUGUCAGAUAGAUGCAAGGUGAGAAACCACCAGUGGUUCAGAGGUCCAUGUAUUAUCUACCUGAUUUAAAAAGUGUAGACAAUGUGGUUUGAAUCCCUUCUGAUUGGGAAAUUUGUUUUUGUUUAUAAUAGGAAAACUUAGAAAGUGAGUUGAACUCACUUUGUGUUUGUGCUAAAUAUGAUAAUGUGGUAUUAGACUAUGAACAAGUAAGAGAAAAUGAAGAAAUGAGGUUAAAACUAAAAGAAAAAAUGACUUGCAUGAAUUUGAGGCUCUAGAAAGAAAAACUGAAAAAGAUCAAGAGUAAGACAAAUAGAGAUGUUAAACUAAUUUGUGCAUUAGAAAGAAAUACCAUCCUCUGAAAGAGUUUUAGUUCUAAGACUGACAUAACAAAGAUUCACCCUUUUUAUAUGUGUAGAUAGGUAGAGAAUUUAAGAAACUCCAUAUUUAGCUGACAUUGUGUUUAAACAGUGGCGCCAUGUUGGCUCCCAUCAAGCUUGCUAGAAAAAGGAAUGGAAUACACGCAGGUGGGGGCUCGCGGGUCUCCUGGCUGUGCCCUGAGGAAACAGCCACUCCUUGCUGAGACUAGAAAAGCUGACACAGAUCUGGUUGACUGAUGUGUGGGUGCUCCAUGUGAGUGAAUUUCUUCUUUGUAGCAAGUGUACCUAUUGCUAAGUAGUUGAAAUAUUGUCAGAAUCACUAGAGAAACUGAUGAAUGACUGAAACCAUUAGACUGUAGGCCCUGUAAAUUGCCCUGAGAUGUCAGGAACCACACUUCGUGUGGAAGAUCUUAGCCUUCACAGACACUCUGAAGUUGUUUUGCUGGAUUUUUGAACACGUGUUCAUGCAGAACAAGAAUUGCAGCCGUUAUGGGACUCCCAAAGCGAUGUGUAACUCUCCCUAGAAUAAGGGUGUGUGUUCCUGUGUAGGAGCUCGAGCUGCCGUGGAGCUGCUUCUCCGGCGCGAGGCCCUGAGAGGCUUCAGUGCAUAUAGCUGUGUCAGUUUUAGCGCGCAGUGUCUUGGAUGAAAGCGCCAGAAUUAAGCCCAGAUUGGAGGAUAACACUGACAUUUUUGAAGCAAAUUUAAUAAAAAGCCUAUUUCUGGCCUGGGGACCAGAUCAUUUCCUUGAUUUUCCUAAGGGAUUUAUGAAAACUCACAGAUAAUUUUCAAGUGGUAAUUUAGUAACAGAGGAUGAUUAAAUAGUAAAUAUUAGAGCAAUCAAAAAAAAGUACAAAAGCAUAACGCUUGAGCAGUGAGAGAAAGACCUAUUUUGUAACUUUGUUUAAUUUUAUAAUUUUCAUAAAUUGGAAAUGUUUGGGUGUUAUAAAGUUUAAUAUUUGGUUUCCUCUGCCGAAAUUUGUGGUCUGAUGUGUGUCACAGUGUAUUAAGUGCUGAUCUGAUCACAUUUAAGUCACGUUGCUUCUCACACAUUUUGCGUCUGUAAACGGCAUGGCACUUGCACCUUACAUUUUCACCUGCACCAGACUUAAUCCUUUUCUGUUUGUGAGAAUAAAAGCAUUUGAUAAAGUGAAGAUUAUUUGUUUCUUCAUGGUAAAUGUGAUUUUUUUUUCCUACACGACAGUUAAAAGUGGGCCGAAAAUCAAGUAGAAGCCAGUUUAGAUUUUGUAACUAAUAGUUUUAAGCAACAUGUUCAUAUAUUUCUAUUUUCAGCACUGAUCUAACAUUGCAGUAUCAAAGCUAGCAAUAAUUUGAAAUCUAAAACUAAUCAAGCUAGUUAAGAAUGCAGAAAAUAUUACUUGACAAGAUAUCAUUUUUUAAAAUCCCUUACAUUCUGUUAGACUUUACUUUUGUUCUUUAAGUUGUCAUCUGUGAACUUUUCACAGUGCUAAAGAAAAUGUUUCUUGGUCAGUUAUAGUUGUUUUGAACACAAAAUUCUCUCAAAAACAUACUGCUACAGAUGCUUUGAGAGAAGGGAAACAGGAAUAGAAAUAGUUAUACCUUCAUACUUGUAGGUGGGUGAACAAUGCAGAGCAGCAAUAGGACUGUAUUUCCAAUAUUGUCUAGAGAAUAAAUCAAGGCAAUUGAUAAUUCCACACCUUGGUAGCUUGGCUGACCAGUGAUAGCUAUGAAACAUCACACACCCCUUGUCCAAACCUAAAUUCCAGCUCAUUAAAAAACCUGACAGUGUACAAACAGGUAUGGCGGCACAUGCCUAUAAUCCUAGCAGGCUGGAAAACUGAGGCAGGAGGCUAUCAGGUGCCAGUUGAACCAGGUCAAUUUAGUGAGAGUUUAUCUCAAUUAAAAGGUGGCAGUGUGGUAGAAAUGUAGCUCAUUGUUUAAUCCACAGUAGUAAAAUCUUCUGGAUGAAUCUAUUUCUGUGCUUAUGCAAAACAAAAACCUACGAAAAGUAUCUUGCAAUUUUGAUGGGCACUUUGCUCCUCUAGUUGAUUACCAAUUUGCCAAUGCUGUCAUCGUUGCUAGUAAAGCAGGUUAUAUCAUUAUUAUCGGGUCAUGCUGAGGUUCUCCCCCUGUUGCUGGUUCUGUGGUCUGGCCUGCAUUUCUUCUAGGUUCUGCGCUGUGAUACAUUGAGCACGUGGCCUCACCCCUCUACCUGUGUCGGGUGAAUCUGAAGCUUUUGCUUUAUUACCUAUCAGCUUUCCUCUGGUGUCUAUUCACAUGCUCUUUCAGAUGCAGCUGGCUCAUGAAAUCUCCAGCCUAAAGAAUUUAGUGAAGCACGCAGAAGUUUAUAACCAGGACCUCAAGGACCUGGAAAAACAGGAGGAAGCAAGAAUUGCUCACCUGCAGCUGAAAGCGCAUCAGGAAACCAUCGCUGGACUAAGGCAGCUGAGAUGUCGAACAUGCGUGUGGACCUCACGCGGCCUUGAAAGCGCUCACGCGGCCUUGAAAGUGCAGGCCCAAGAACUUGAGAAGAAAAAGCAUCAGCUUCUUCAGAUGGAAAGUAAUCUCAAGGAAACUAUGUUUCAAACAGAAGUGUUCAAGAAGCAAAUAGAAACCCAGAAUGUGGCUCUGGAGAACGUGGAGAAGGAGCGAUUCAGGGACGCGUGGCGGGAGGGGGGUCAGCUUAUGACGCUGAGCUAAAUCCCCAGCCCCACUGUAUGCAGUCUUUAAAAAAAUACUAUUUCCGUAACUUAAUAAAACAAGUAGAAAAGAGUAUCAUUUACAGUCUCAUCAAAACACUGCUUGACAGUCAUCCUUAUGUGGGCCCUAACUAAACUGAUACAGAGAUUUAAUUCCAGAAGUGGUUACUGAAGGUUUAGGCAUUCCUCCAUGUAGCAGGAGGAUCGGUGACGCCAGGAGGAGAAAGUGGGUUUUUCCUUCUGUACUUGUUAAUGAGAAAUGCAGGCUAUGAAGCGGAUGUUUUCCAUUGCCCAGUGCCAGGACGGCCGUGUCACCAGGCUCGGGUCCUGAGCAGUGCAGGUGGUUUUGCUAGUGUUUUUACCUGGUGGGAAUAACUGUA